GACAGAGGGUGCAAACGUUGUUCGGAAUUACUGGGCGUAAAGCGCGUGUAGGCGGCCAUGCAAGUCGGAUGUGAAAGCCCUCGGCUCAACCGGGGAAGUGCACUCGAAACUGCAAGGCUAGAGUCUCGGAGAGGAUCGUGGAAUUCUCGGUGUAGCGGUGAAAUGCGCAGAUAUCAGGAGGAACACCCGUGGCGAAAGCGGCUCUCUGGGACGGUACUGACGCUGAGACGCGAAAGCGUGGGGAGCAAACAGG
RNAcentral lists this ribosomal RNA (253 nucleotides) under uncultured bacterium. Its description in RNAcentral is "partial 16S ribosomal RNA". It matches the Rfam family "Bacterial small subunit ribosomal RNA", at positions 524 to 776 of the family's 1533-position model. The record is from RNAcentral.